RNAcentral lists this ribosomal RNA (266 nucleotides) under uncultured prokaryote. RNAcentral describes it as "partial 16S ribosomal RNA". It matches the Rfam family "Bacterial small subunit ribosomal RNA", at positions 524 to 784 of the family's 1533-position model. The record is from RNAcentral.
UACGUAGGUGGCGAGCGUUAUCCGGAAUUAUUUGGGCGUUAAAGAGCGCGCAGGUGGUUGAUUAAGUCUGAUAGUGAAAGCCCACGGCUUAACCGUGGAGGGUCAUUGGAAACUGGUCGACUUGAGUGCAGAAGAGGGAAGUGGAAUUCCAUGUGUAGCGGUGAAAUGCGUAGAGAUAUGGAGGAACACCAGUGGCGAAGGCGGCUUCCUGGUCUGUAAACUGACACUGAGGCGCGAAAGCGUGGGGAGCAAACAGGGAUUAGAUA